Molecule: long non-coding RNA, 227 nt
Organism: Oreochromis aureus
Lineage: Eukaryota; Metazoa; Chordata; Actinopteri; Cichliformes; Cichlidae
Exons: 4
Source: RefSeq, a predicted model, not a curated record
CAUCUCUGAGACAGUCUGCAAAGACCUGACGGUGAAAUCACUGAAACCAUGAUCAAGGUUGUGUUUCUGCUUGGAUGCCUGCUGAGCCUUGCUCUGGCAAAUCCUAAUGACUCAGCACACGAGCGCGAUGCACGUUCUUCAUCUGGGGAGGGGACUUUUGGGACCCUAAAUCGUCUUACCCUGCUACUACCUCUUCUACAGAAUCCACUACUUCUGCAGAAUUCAAC